RNAcentral lists this long non-coding RNA (1181 nucleotides) under Macaca fascicularis (crab-eating macaque). Its description in RNAcentral is "lncRNA (ENSMFAG00000051263.1)". Lineage: Eukaryota; Metazoa; Chordata; Mammalia; Primates; Cercopithecidae. The record is from RNAcentral.
UUUUUUUUUUUUUUUUUUUUUUUUGGUAAAUUGCCCAGUCUCAGGUAUGUCUUUAUCAGCAGCAUGUAAACAGACUAAUACAAUUGUCUUGAAUUUCAUCGAACUUCCUCUAAACAGCUAUUUCACAUACUCUGUCUGAAUGGUCACAUAUCUCUGCAUUCUGGCAUUGGUCAUUGGUGCCUUAUUUAGUUCAUUUGGUGACGUCAUGUUUUCCUUGAUUGUCUUGAUGCUUGUGGAUGUUUAUUCAUGUCUGGGCAUUAAAGAGUUAGGUUUUUAUUAUAGUCUUUGCAGUCUGGGCUUGUUUGUACCCAUCCUUCUUGGGAAAACUCUCCAGUCCUUCAAAGGGAAGUGUUGUGAUCUAAAUCUUUGGUCACUGCAGCUACAUCUGCAUUAGGAAGCACCACAAACCCAGUAACACUGUGACUCUUGCAGACUCAUAGAAGUACCACCUUGGUGGUCUUGGGUGUGAUACAGGAGAAUUUACUAGAUUACCAGGCAGAGCCUCUUGUUAUCUUCCAUUGCUUUUCCCCAAAGAAACAGGGUCUCUCUCUCCUUACUAAGCUAUCUGGAGCUAGGGGAACAGUGACACAAGUACCCUUGUGGCCACCACCACUUGGAGUGCACUAGGUCAGACCUGAAGCCAGCAUAGCACUAGGUCUCACCCAAGGCUUGUGGUGACCACUACCUGGCUAUCACUGAAAGCCAAGGCCCAAGGGCUCUUCAGUAAGCUUAUGGUGAAUGUUGCCAGGCCUGGGUCUCUAUCUUCAGGGCAAUGGGCUCUCUCCCCUGUGACCCAGGGCAGGUCCAGAAAUGCUAUCCAGGAGCCUGGAAUCGAGGACCCCAGGUGCUUACUUGGUGCUCUAUUCCACUGUAGCCAAGCUAAUACCUAAGCUGCAAGACAAAGUCCCCAUUAGUCUUAGGUUAAAUCUCUCCUUAUCUACGUCCAAACUCCCUCUCAUUUCCUCAAGCAGAAGGAGUCUCUCCUCAUGGCUACCAUAGCUAAGAAUGUGCUGGAUCACACCAGAAGCCAGCAUGACACUGGAUCUCACCCAAUACCUAUGGCAAAUACUGCCUGGGUACUGCUGCUGAUUAUUCAGGGCCAAAGGGCUCUUUAGUCAGCAGGUGAUGAAUCCUGCCUGGACUGAGUCCUUCCUUUCAAGGCAGCAUGUUGCUUCUGGUCC